Long non-coding RNA from Cynoglossus semilaevis (tongue sole), 2134 nucleotides. RefSeq lists it as uncharacterized. The transcript is spliced from 2 exons. NCBI's taxonomy places the organism in Eukaryota, Metazoa, Chordata, Actinopteri, Pleuronectiformes, Cynoglossidae. The record is from RefSeq and is a predicted model, not a curated record.
UGUUGCCAGUAGCUCUGCAGUUGUUGUUGCAACUUUGAAAUCAUAGCAUUGUCUGUUGCUCAAGGACAUCUGUUGUCUUUUCUCUUUUUAACAACAGUUGGAAACAUACAGCACAGUGUUACUACAACGUAGAACAAACAAGUGCACAGGGAGGUUUGGAGAAUAUUUAGUCUCAGUGUGGGCGUCCUAAAGAAAUAGUCAGAAGCGCAUGUGCAUACGAAAAACUCAAACUAUUUGUUUUCUUUAGUGAGGGCCCUUAAAUGCAACAUUAUUCAAUUCUGUAGUCCCAACCAGAAUCUACAAAGGUUUAACCAGAGGUGUUCACACCCACCGUAGGUAUUAUAGCAGAAGAGUCACUUUUGGUCUUUGUUAGUGAAACUGAACCCACAACCUUCAACAUGGCAGGCAAAAAUAACCCACUGCACCACUUCUGGUGUAAAAGACAAAAAGACAGGAUCAGAAAAAAAAACACUCUUUAAGACAAAAACUGAGUCAGUGACAGCGACAGGAGAAAAGCGAAUUGCAACAUAACCACAGACUAAAGCUUUUGUGUUUUUUCCUCCCGAGUCUUUCUGUGACCAUAUCCACACCACAAAUGCUCAGCAACAAGUGAGAGUAAAGCCUGAGACAAUAUGGUUCGACUGACCAGAGGUAAACAAGAGUACUUUAUAUUCUGUAAUGCCCCAAGUACAAAUAUUUCAUGUCUGCUAUAAUAAUGGGUAACAUCUUUAUUUUACUGAGUAAACUGCUGGCGUCAUUGUGACACUCCAGAUAAGAUCUGGUUUAGUGUUUCACUUCACCAGUCUCUGUGGCUACAUCAAUUACGACACAAGUGCUUUAGCAACAUUCACGACCUCGGUGCCAUCUUUCAACAUUUUCAGGACAAAAACAAUUACUUCUUGUAACACAGGCUAAGCAGUAAAAAUAUUUCCAAGUCUGGUAUUUUUUUUAAAUUCAGAAUAGAUCUAGGUCUUAAAGACACACACACACACACCAAAAACACAGUUGGAGUAAAGACAAAGCUGUGACUACAACCCCAAAAUGUUAAAGUACAUGCUGUGUUAACAUGGUGUUACAUGGUGUUUAGUAAAGAUUACGCUGUCGAAGAUAUGUAAAUGAAUCUUUAACAGUAUAGGUUUUUUUACAUGUAAACAAAACAAAGUUUUCAGUUUCAGAAAUAUUGAAAAGCAACAAAAAACUGCAGUUGUCACUGAUUUCUCUUGUUUGUGCCUUACAGAGAAAAAAAAACAAUGAUCCAGUCCCUCACAAAAAAACCUCUGGCUAUUCAACACCGUACAUGCCUUUUUUGAGUGUCUAAUUUGAAAUGUGAAUGUUUAUGUCUGUGCUUAUUAAGCCAUCGCAGGCCAAUUUUCACUAUUAACCUCAUUGAACGUCUUGUCUCCUGGCUAUUUACCCUGCAUAAUGUGAUUCACACUGUGCAAAUUAUAUGCAGCUACAGCUGACCCAAAUAUCUCCCCGCCUCACAGCGGUGUCACUGUGCCAGCUCAAGUGGCUACUUGCGGGUGGCGCCUUCAUUUGAGAGACAAAAGCUGAUUUUGAACAUAUAAUGGUUUAAUGGUCUACAGCUCUUAGGAGGCAGAAAGGAGAGAUUUGUUGGGCAGUUAGUUUCCCCUGUGAUGGCGAAGGUUGUUUUUGUACCAGCCUCUGGUUGGGUGUGUUUUCUCGGCGUGGGAUUUACGGUUAUGGUCUCUAGAUGUUAGUGUAGUAGACUAGUCAUGACCAGGCGUGAAUUGGCGCAGUGGAGUUCUUGCUUGCGGGGGCGGGGGGCAAAACACUUGCCUGCAUUUGGACAGGCUUUAAAAAAUUUACGACAGUGGAUGAGGCCUGUGCAAGAGGGUAGCUAGGACUGAUGAGAGUGUUUUGGAGGGUAAAUGCUCUUUGCUUAGUUUUGAGUGAGAAGACCCUCAGGAAUUUCAUGUCAUACAUGCCCCAAAGAUUACUCAAGCUCUCGCUUCCCAUAAUUAAAAUAAUUAGUAAUUCCUCUUGCCCAAUAUUUUUUUGAUGAUUUCAUCAGCUGAUAAUGAGAUUGAAUCAUUCGCAAAAUCACUCGUGCAUUUCUAAGCCCUUUUGUGCCAGUGAGUGUUUUUUGGUGUGCUGAAACAUUAUGUUUUUU